RNAcentral lists this ribosomal RNA (228 nucleotides) under Triticum aestivum (bread wheat). RNAcentral describes it as "partial small subunit ribosomal RNA". The record is from RNAcentral. Lineage: Eukaryota; Viridiplantae; Streptophyta; Magnoliopsida; Poales; Poaceae.
AUGUCGCUGCUGCCGCACGUCUACGGACUCCUCCGGCCGCCUUCCGCGGUUGACAUGUACCCUGUCCCUUACGAGGUCCAAGACGGGGUCACCAUGGGCUUGUACCCCAAGGCUGGUGGCGUGGUGGUGCUCGCGCUCUUGGUCUACGUGCAGCAGCGCUGGAACUACAGGAUCCUAGGGUGGGCGGUUGUAGACAAGGAGAAGAAUAAGCUGCAGCAUGUGUACUGA